RNAcentral lists this transfer RNA (67 nucleotides) under Micronychus sp. UPOL MT0052. RNAcentral's name for it is "tRNA-Glu". The record is from RNAcentral. Lineage: Eukaryota; Metazoa; Arthropoda; Insecta; Coleoptera; Lycidae.
GUUUCUAUUUAUAUAGUUUAGAAAAAUAUUACAUUUUCAUUGUAAAGUCAAAUCUUAUUUUUUAUAA